CCCGCCGCGCGUCGCCGCUCUCCG
This 24-nucleotide microRNA is filed under the name Gallus gallus (chicken). Its description in RNAcentral is "microRNA Ros-gga". The record is from RNAcentral. Lineage: Eukaryota; Metazoa; Chordata; Aves; Galliformes; Phasianidae.